RNAcentral lists this ribosomal RNA (298 nucleotides) under Tomopteris sp. USNM IZ 1253970. RNAcentral's name for it is "partial large subunit ribosomal RNA". The record is from RNAcentral. Lineage: Eukaryota; Metazoa; Annelida; Polychaeta; Phyllodocida; Tomopteridae.
AAUUAAAGCUUUAUUUAUUUUAUUAAUAAAACUUAAUAUAUUAGUGAAGAAGCUAAUAUUAUUUUAUAGGACAAGAAGACCCUAAUGAUUUUUAUUUAAAUAAUUUAUUUAAAUAGUAUUAUAUUUUAGUAUAAUUAAUAGAAUUUUACUGGGGCGGUAAUAUUAUAAAUUAAUAUAUUAACUUAUAUAGUUAUUAAUGAUUUUAUCUAUAUAAUGAUCCUUUAUAAUGAUUAAAAGAACAAAAUACCAUAGGGAUAACAGGCUUAUUAAUUUAGAUAGUUUAUAUUGAAAAAUUAGU